This 69-nucleotide transfer RNA is filed under the name Podarcis lilfordi (Lilford's wall lizard). RNAcentral's name for it is "tRNA.Ile". The stretch from base 4 to 61 matches the Rfam family "tRNA", at positions 8 to 63 of the family's 71-position model. Rfam says of the family: Transfer RNA (tRNA) molecules are approximately 80 nucleotides in length. Lineage: Eukaryota; Metazoa; Chordata; Lepidosauria; Squamata; Lacertidae. The record is from RNAcentral.
GAAUAGUUCAGUUGGUUAGACAAGGUGCUGAUAACACCAAGGUUGCAGGUUCGAUCCCUGUAUGCGACA